UUUUCCUCUGAUCUGCCUCCUCUCUUUCAUCAAGAAAACCACAGAGAGCAGGGCAGAGGGAGACGAA
MicroRNA precursor from Amphilophus citrinellus (Midas cichlid), 67 nucleotides. NCBI's taxonomy places the organism in Eukaryota, Metazoa, Chordata, Actinopteri, Cichliformes, Cichlidae. The record is from Ensembl.